This 1251-nucleotide long non-coding RNA is filed under the name Nicotiana tabacum (common tobacco). Its description in RNAcentral is "long non-coding RNA (NTAB_LNC009088)". The record is from RNAcentral. Lineage: Eukaryota; Viridiplantae; Streptophyta; Magnoliopsida; Solanales; Solanaceae.
CGUGCUCUGUUUCUCUCUCUUGGGUACGCGCGCCUUUUCGUCGUCUCCUCCGUUUCCGACAUGGAAGAUAAACUGGUUCUUGCUUUUGGCGCUGUGACCUGUUCUCCUCGCUCUGCACCACCUACGUUUUUGGUGGGUAUCUGCAAUUAACAUUAUCCCUUGAAGUCUAUUUACUUUAGUACUCGUUGCUUCUGCAUAUUUGCUCUUUAACCUCAACGUUUUAUCGGACAAUUUAUCGCACUGGUUAGCUGAUAUCGCCCAAUAAAUUGUGAAACAACCUCUGUUUUGCUUGGGUUUCCUCCUUGUUUUUGCAGCUUCACUUUUCUGCUAUCUUUCUAUCUGGUGGCUGAAAGGUGAGUACUCUUAGUAUUUCUUCUCCUUCUUUAGAUUUGUGUGGCUGCAUUAAUGGACCGCAGCGGGCUCGCAACUUUUAACUACUACCUAAUGGUUUAUAUGUGAACUAAUUUAUUGUUCUAUGAAUCAUCUGCAUCUACUUUGUUCCGCUGAUUUAGUCAGAGCCUCACAUGAUGCAUUGUAAUUUAAUUAUUUGACUGAUUAGAAAUUUCUUAUAGUUGAUUUUGGAUAUAGAUACCUAUUUUGCUGAAACCUUCAGAGUAGUUUCCGUCCAAGAGAGAAUUGGAUUUGAGUUUGACCUUGUUGACAUUUCAUGCGCUUACCCUGGUCUUGCGCAAUGGUUAAUCUCACUCUGGGGUGUAGCUACCUUUGGUGAAGGGGUUCAAUUUAAUCCCCUCAGGUAGAAAGUUACAAUUUGAAAAAAGGAUAAAAACAAAUUUCUUUGUAUAUACCAAUCAUUGAGCCUCCUUGAUAUAAGUUCAUAUCUUAUUUAUGACGUUCUUACAUUUUUUUGAAUCCCCUUAUUCAAAAUUCGGACUCCACCACUGAUCGCUAUUGGGUGGAUUGUGUGCAUCAUCUGUGCUCAUUCUGCUCUUUUGAUUUAGUCAGAGAGUUCAUUCUAACUUCACUAUAUUUACAUUAUCUGGUUGACUACUUAAAUAUAAUUCUUUUAUAGUUGAUUUAGGCUAGAUUUUGAUAUCUUUGGAGGAAUCUCCUGAUUAUUAAGCUUGUAUUUUGCUAUUGCUUACGACACAAUCCACAAUGGUCGAAAGCUAUAAAAAGACAACCUCCUGCAGAUGGUGUGCAGAAAUGAGCUGUAAAGCAAAUUGAUGGUUCAUGAGUUAUCCAAGUGUAAGAAGGAAGCUCUGUAUUUGAGAAUAAAUAUAACAUCAAUUG